GGUUUGAUUCUGGCUCAGAUUGGGCGCUGGCGGGAUGCUUUACACAUGCAAGUCGGAGCGGCAGCACGGACUUCGGUCUGGUGGCGAGUGGCGAACGGGUGAGUAAUGUAUCGGAACGUGCCUAGUAGCGGGGGAUAACUACGCGAAAGCGUAGCUAAUACCAUCACCCUUCGGGGAAAAGCGGGGGACCUUCGGGUCUCGCACUAUUAGGCUCCGGCCGAUAUCGGAUUAGCCAGUUGGUAGAUGGCUCACCAAGGCGACGAUCCGUAGCUGGUUUGAGAAGGACGACCAGCCACACUGGGACUGGGACACGGCCCGAACUCCUACGGGAGGCGGCAGUGGAAAUUUUGGACAAUGGGGAAACCUGAUCCAGCCAUCCCGCGUGCGAUAUUGAAGGUCUUCGGGUUGUAAGCACUUUGGCAGGAAAGAAACGGCACGGGAUAAUACCCCGUGCAACUGACGGUACCUGCAGAAUAAGCACCGGCUAACCCAAUUGCCAGCAGCCGCGGUAAUACGUAGGGUGCAAGCGUUAAUCGGAAUUACUGGGCGUAAAGCGUGCGCAGAGCGGUUCGGAAGAAAAGAAUGUGAAAUCCCAGAGUAACUUUGGAACUGCAUUUUUAACUACCGAGCUAGAGAGUGUCAGAGGAGAGUGGAAUUCCGCGUGUAGCAGUGAAAUGCGUAGCGAUAUGCGGAGGAACACCGACCAGCGAGCAGCCUCCUGGGAUAACACUGACGCUCAUGCACGAAAAGCGUGAGGCAAACGGGAUUAGAUACCUGGUAGUCCACGCCUAAACGAUGUCAGCUAGCUGUUGCCGAAGACCUUGGAGCCUUGGUAGCGCAACUAACGUGAAGUUGACCGCCUGGGAAAUACGGUCGCAAGAUUAAAACUCAAAGGAAUUGACGGGGACCCACUGAGCAGUGGAUGAUGUGGACCAAUUCGAUGCAGCGCGAAAAACCUUACCUACCCUUGACAUGUCUGGAAUCCCGAAGAGAUUUGGGAGUGCUCGCAAGAGGCCGGAACACAGGUGCUGCAUGGCUGUCGUCAGCUCGUGUCGUGAGAUGUUGGGUUAAGUCCCGCAACAGGCGCAACCCUUGUCGUGGAUUGCUACGAAGGGCACUCUAAUGAGACUGCCGGUGACAAACCGGAGGGGAAGGUGGGGAUGACGUCAAGUCCUCAUGGCCCUUAUGGGUAGGGCUUCACACGUCAUACAAUGAACGGGACAGAGGAGUCGCCAACCCCGCGAGGAGCCAAUCCCGAAACCCGAUCGUAGUCCGGAUCAUGAUCUGCAACUCGACUGCGUGAUCCGAAUCGCUAGUAAUCGCGGAUCCGGCAUGUCGCGGUGAAUACGUUCCCGGGUCUUGUACACCGCCCACUCACCAUGGGAGUGGGUUUUACCGUAGUUAGCCUAACCGUAAGGAGGGCGAUUACCACGGUAGGAUUCAUGACUGGGGUGAAGUCGUAACAAGGUA
Molecule: ribosomal RNA, 1470 nt
Filed under: uncultured Bordetella sp.
Lineage: Bacteria; Pseudomonadati; Pseudomonadota; Betaproteobacteria; Burkholderiales; Alcaligenaceae
Description: partial 16S-23S ribosomal RNA intergenic spacer
Rfam family: Bacterial small subunit ribosomal RNA
Source: RNAcentral